AUUAUAUGACCCCUGACAUCAGCAUAAUAUUGUCUAUAAGCUCAAGCGAAUGUAUUUUGGUUAUUUCGUUUCUCUAGAGUGUAUGAUUCCCAGCGUGUCCCAGCCUCCUUGUCUCCUGUGCCACUGAGGACCAGUCCAGUCAAACGUCCGCGAUCCUCCUGCUACUCCUCCAAACACAGACGGACAGAAGCCACUCCAAAAGCUCCAGACUCUACUCUUCAAGUUCAAACACAGCCAAAUUGGGCAUGGAGGAACUGCAGGUGAUAAAGAAGGAGCUGACUCUGAUAAAGACACAGAUCGAUGGGCUGCUCGACAGCAUCGACAAGAUGGACACACACAAGACUGAGCAGAAAGGGUCUCCAAGGAAGGAGGACAGUCCAGCUGGCUCCGUGUACUCUCCAUCGGCCAGCAGCCCUGAACUCUCCCGCUCCUCACUGUCGCCUCCCUACCACCACCAUAUCCGCAAGGAGAGCCCUGAGCAGGAGACAGAUGAUUACCACACAAUUUUCCAGACAAGCAAUCACAACUCUGAGGAGGAAAUAUGAAAAUUAAAUAAAAGAGCCUGUAGAGUGGACAUGGAACAAGUGCCAAACGAGGACGAGAACUAAGAAGAACUAAGAGAAUCAAAGCAAUGGCCAUAUUUCUCACUAAACAAUGAAUAAACAUUUCUUAGACAUCACAUUUUGACUGUAAACCUGAACAAUUACAUCUUAGUUGUUUCUGAACAUUACAAUGUGUCAUUAAAUUGACAAGGUAUUCAGGAAGUCUUGACAAACAAGGAUCAUUUUACAGAACAGUCUAAGUCGCACGCAACACUCACAGAAAAUGUCUUGUUAAUGAAAAGUAGUUUUGUCUUGUGAGCACCGGUGUAAAGUUUGUAAAUUGCAGGACAAAAUGUAUAGAAUGUUAAUGCCCUGGGGCAAUGUUACCUUUAAAGUUCACUCGGUGAGCAGGUGGUCUGGCUAGAUCACUACACAAUUAAUGAUUAACAAAUGAGGCAACUUUGAAAAAAGUAAAAAAAAAAUAUAUAUAAAGAUAUAUAUCUGCAACUAAUACUGUACAUCAGUCUAGUCUUUCAACAAAACACCCUCAUCAACAAUUCCAACACACCCAGCCAAGAAACUAUUAGUUACAUAACAUUUAGCACUAGUAAAAUGCAAGCCUAACUGGUUUGCAAAGAAUCAUAGCAUGCUUCUUUCUUUGUUUUGAACAUUGUGUGCACACACUCCAACUGUUGUAAAAUUAUCAAACUGGAUGUAAGAAAAAAGUUGUAGACAAUAUCCUGGAUGUCUAAUGCAGGAGAAGUUUAUUACCAUCAAUACAGGCCUGGAGACAACUGAACAGUUAACGUAUGGACAUUGAAUAUCCAUGUCUGAUCAUUCUUCCACAAGAAGAGUUCAAAAUAUGAUGAGCCUCGUCUCCAGUCUCGUGCAAUGUUAUGUGAAGGGUAUGUUAAGGAGGACCCAUCACGGAGACAACAUUACGCCAAGAGAGAAUCAGUCUGUAAGUUAAGGACAAAUUGUCUCAAAUCUAUAAAAACUACUCAGUUGUCAGUAAGGCUCCAGUGAGACAGUAUAAUGCCAAGAGAGGACUGGUAUGUAAGUUAAGGACAAAUUCUCUAACACCAAUGAUCUCAUAAAAAGUUCUAAUUUAGCAACGCAUUCUUGUAAAGCUAGAAUGGUUAGAAUUAACUUUUAAGGAUAUGAAUGAUUGAACUGAUUGUUGACUGCCAUCAAAAGGAAUAGUGCAAGGCCCAAGCCAUUGUGUAAUAAUGUGCAUUAAUUGUCUGAUUUAGGACUACUUUGAGUUUUAUGUUGAGUUGAUGUUAUUAAAGGUGUUCAAUGUUUACGUUUGUAAUUUAGACAAACCAAGUGAAAAG
This is a long non-coding RNA of Neogobius melanostomus (round goby), 1879 nucleotides long. The record is from Ensembl. Lineage: Eukaryota; Metazoa; Chordata; Actinopteri; Gobiiformes; Gobiidae.